GUCCACGCCCUAAACGAUGUCAACUGGUUGUUGGGAAUUUGUUUUCUCAGUAACGAAGCUAACGCGUGAAGUUGACCGCCUGGGGGAGUACGGCCGCAAGGUUGAAACUCAAAAGGAAUUGACGGGGACCCGCACAAGCGGUGGAUGAUGUGGUUUAAUUCGAUGCAACGCGAAAAACCUUACCCACCUUUGACAUGUACGGAAUCCUUUAGAGAUAGAGGAGUGCUCGAAAGAGAACCGUAACACAGGUGCUGCAUGGCUGUCGU
RNAcentral lists this ribosomal RNA (266 nucleotides) under uncultured bacterium. Its description in RNAcentral is "partial 16S ribosomal RNA". It matches the Rfam family "Bacterial small subunit ribosomal RNA", at positions 793 to 1055 of the family's 1533-position model. The record is from RNAcentral.